UUACGGCCAUAUCACAUUGACACUCCUUUUUCCGUACGAUCACCGAAGUUAAGCAACGUCGAGCCUGGUCAGUACCUAGAUGGGUGAUCGCUUGGGAAUACUAGAUGCUGUAAG
Molecule: non-coding RNA, 114 nt
Organism: Acanthosepion pharaonis
Lineage: Eukaryota; Metazoa; Mollusca; Cephalopoda; Sepiida; Sepiidae
Source: the annotation of a GenBank genome assembly